Molecule: ribosomal RNA, 393 nt
Filed under: uncultured bacterium
Lineage: Bacteria
Description: bacterial SSU rRNA
Rfam family: Bacterial small subunit ribosomal RNA
Source: RNAcentral
AAUCAACGCUGGCGGCGUGCCUCAGACAUGCAAGUCGAACGCGAAAGGUUCCUUCGGGAACCCGGUAGAGUGGCGCACGGGUGAGUAACACGUGGGUAAUUUGCCUUCGGGUGGGGAAUAACAGUCGGAAACGGCUGCUAAUACCGCAUAAUGCAGCGGCAUCAUAAGAUGACAGUUGUUAAAGCGGGGGAUCGUAAGACCUCGCGCCUGAAGAGAAGCCCGCGGCGGAUUAGGUAGUUGGNGAGGUAAUGGCUCACCAAGCCCGCGAUCCGUAACCGGCCUGAGAGGGCGGUCGGUCACACUGACACUGACAUACGGGUCAGACUCCGUACGGGAGCAGCAGUCGGGAAUUUGGGCAAUGGGCGCAAGCCUGACCCAGCAACGCCGCGUGAA